GACGAACGCUGGCGGCGUGCUUAACACAUGCAAGUCGAACGGAAAGGCCCUGCUUUUGUGGGGUUCUCGAUUGGCGAACGGGUGAGUAACACGUGAGUAACCUCUCCUUGUCUUUCUGGUAACUUCAGGAAACUGGGGCUAUUAUCGGAUAUAAUCUCUUGCUGCAUGGUGUUGGUUGGUAAGUUACGGCGGUUGUGGAUGUACUCGCUGGUUAUCCGCUGGUUUGUGGGGUAGUUGCUUUCCAAGGUUUUGACGGGUAGCCUGCCUAGGAGAGUGACCGGGCACAAUGGGACUGAGAGAGGGAGCAGAAUGGUACGGGACGCAGUAGUGGAAAAUAUUGCAGAAUGGGCGGAAGCCAGAGACAGAAAUGCCGCGUGCGGGAUGACGGCCUACGGGGUGUAAACAGAUUUCGAAGGUGACGAAGCGUGAGUGACGGUACUGAGUCAAGAAGCAACGGCUAACUACGUG
This 468-nucleotide ribosomal RNA is filed under the name uncultured bacterium. RNAcentral describes it as "partial 16S ribosomal RNA". It matches the Rfam family "Bacterial small subunit ribosomal RNA", at positions 28 to 507 of the family's 1533-position model. The record is from RNAcentral.